Molecule: ribosomal RNA, 784 nt
Filed under: uncultured Brevundimonas sp.
Lineage: Bacteria; Pseudomonadati; Pseudomonadota; Alphaproteobacteria; Caulobacterales; Caulobacteraceae
Description: bacterial SSU rRNA
Rfam family: Bacterial small subunit ribosomal RNA
Source: RNAcentral
AGAGCGAACGCUGGCGGCAGGCCUAACACAUGCAAGUCGAACGGACCCUUCGGGGUUAGUGGCGGACGGGUGAGUAACACGUGGGAACGUGCCUUUAGGUUCGGAAUAGCUCCUGGAAACGGGUGGUAAUGCCGAAUGUGCCCUUCGGGGGAAAGAUUUAUCGCCUUUAGAGCGGCCCGCGUCUGAUUAGCUAGUUGGUGGGGUAAUGGCCCACCAAGGCUACGAUCAGUAGCUGGUCUGAGAGGAUGACCAGCCACAUUGGGACUGAGACACGGCCCAAACUCCUACGGGAGGCAGCAGUGGGGAAUCUUGCGCAAUGGGCGAAAGCCUGACGCAGCCAUGCCGCGUGUAUGAUGAAGGUCUUAGGAUUGUAAAAUACUUUCACCGGUGAAGAUAAUGACUGUAGCCGGAGAAGAAGCCCCGGCUAACUUCGUGCCAGCAGCCGCGGUAAUACGAAGGGGGCUAGCGUUGCUCGGAAUUACUGGGCGUAAAGGGAGCGUAGGCGGACAUUUAAGUCAGAGGUGAAAUCCCGGAGCUUAACUUCGGAACUGCCUUUGAUACUGGGUGUCUUGAGUGUGAGAGAGGUAUGUGGAACUCCGAGUGUAGAGGUGAAAUUCGUAGAUAUUCGGAAGAUCACCAGUGGCGAAGGCGACAUACUGGCUCAUUACUGACGCUGAGGCUCGAAAGCGUGGGGAGCAAACAGGAUUAGAUACCCUGGUAGUCCACGCCGUAAACGAUGAUUGCUAGUUGUCGGGAAGCUUGCUUCUCGGUGACGCAGCUAACG